Long non-coding RNA from Homo sapiens (human), 855 nucleotides. Ensembl annotates it as long intergenic non-protein coding RNA 2883. NCBI's taxonomy places the organism in Eukaryota, Metazoa, Chordata, Mammalia, Primates, Hominidae. The record is from Ensembl.
AUUACAGGUGAGAGCCACCUUGCCUAGCCCCAGUCACUGUUGAGGUCACCAUUUUAAAGCUGAGGAAACAUGCUCAGCAUGGCAGCAGAAGCUCUGGCAGUUUCUGUGUGUCUGGCCCCAGCUGCCCAGGCCCCCUGAACCUGAGGGGCCUUGCUCUGGCCCUGGGGUUGGCCUGGGUUUGGCACCUGGCGCUCGGGCCCCUGAGGGCUUGCAGUAGGGGAGCAGUGGCUUUUUUGAGUUGAAUUUAGUAGGGCUGGACUCCUUUCCUGUCCUUUCUGCAGGUAAAGGAGAUGAGCAGCGUUGCUCUGGUACGCAGAGAAGCUUCCAGACACUCCUGGGUUGCACGAUAGAUUAAGUAAUUCUACUGAUGGGCACCAGCUCCAUGCCAGGACCCAGGGCUCCAAAGCCAUUUCCAGGAUAAAUGCAGGCUCUGAGAGCGAGUGCCACGGAUGACUCCUCCAUGGCCGCACUUUCUUCACAUUGGCUCCUGUGAGCUUCCUCAACGCUUUCGAAGCUGGCCCCGCUUCUGUCCACUCUGCAGAGUGAACGUUGAGGCCUGCGAGGUCCCUGCCAUGCCUGUCUCCUCCUCCCAGCAGUAGUGUGAGCUCUGCUCCGGGAUCAAGGCCAGAUCUUUGCAGCCCAUGUGCUUGGCUCCCUCAGCUGAGCCUCAGGACGUGGGUCCUCAGUUUGUGCUGUGCAGCGUGAGGGGCCACACUGCAGUCAAGCCAGCUGGGUGCAAACAGCAGCUUUUCUUCUACUUGGUGGCCCUCCUUGGGAAGGUCCCUCUGCUCCUGUAACUUCAUUUCCUCAUUGAUAACAAAGAAAAAAACAGAUCAUAUUGCCUGUUGUAAGGAU